Molecule: ribosomal RNA, 493 nt
Filed under: uncultured bacterium
Lineage: Bacteria
Description: partial 16S ribosomal RNA
Rfam family: Bacterial small subunit ribosomal RNA
Source: RNAcentral
GAGUGAACGCUGGCGGUAGGCCUAACACAUGCAAGUCAAACGGCAGCACAGUAAGAGCUUGCUCUUACGGGUGGCGAGUGGCGGACGGGUAAGGAAUUCAUCGGAAUCUACUUUUUCGUGGGGGUUAACGUAGGGAAACUUACGCUAAUACCGCAUACGACCUGCGUGUGAAAGCAGGGGAUCUUCGGACCGUGCGCGAUGGACUGAGCCGAUGUCGGCUUAGCUGGUUGGCGGGGUAAUGGCCAAGCAAGGCGACGAUCCGUAGCUGGUCGGUUGGACGGAUCGGCGACACGGGAACGGAGACACGGUCCAGACGCCUACGGGAGGCAGCAGUGGGGUAUAUUGGACAAAGGGCGGAAGCCUUAUCCAGCCAGACCGCGUGUGUGAAGGAAGCGCUCGGGUUGUAAAGCCCGUUUUUUGGUAGAGAAAAGCAGCAGGUUAAGACCCCGCUGGACUGACGGUACCCAAAGAAGAAGCACCGGCUAACUUCGUG